UACGUAGGGGGCAAGCGUUGUCCGGAUUCAUUGGGCGUAAAGAGCGUGUAGGCGGCCAGGUAGGUCGGUUGUGAAAACUGGAGGCUCAACCUUCAGAGGUCGACCGAAACCAUCUGGCUAGAGUCCGGGAGAGGAGAGUGGAAUUCCUGGUGUAGCGGUGAAAUGCGCAGAUAUUAGGAAGAACACCCGUGGCGAAAGCGGCUCUCUGGAACGGUACUGACGCUGAGACGCGAAAGCGUGGGGAGCGAACAGG
Molecule: ribosomal RNA, 253 nt
Filed under: uncultured bacterium
Lineage: Bacteria
Description: partial 16S ribosomal RNA
Rfam family: Bacterial small subunit ribosomal RNA
Source: RNAcentral